Molecule: unclassified non-coding RNA, 22 nt
Filed under: Chlamydomonas reinhardtii
Lineage: Eukaryota; Viridiplantae; Chlorophyta; Chlorophyceae; Chlamydomonadales; Chlamydomonadaceae
Description: small RNA Cre_2378
Source: RNAcentral
UAUCUGACUCGGCGGUUCCUCU